This is a long non-coding RNA of Brassica oleracea var. oleracea, 1099 nucleotides long. RefSeq lists it as uncharacterized. Lineage: Eukaryota; Viridiplantae; Streptophyta; Magnoliopsida; Brassicales; Brassicaceae. The transcript has 2 exons. The record is from RefSeq and is a predicted model, not a curated record.
AUUUGUAAGUCUUGUCACCAUUAGUCCUGAAAUAUUUGACUCUUGGUGUGUACGCCUAAGUGGACUAAGUCUUGCCUCCUAACCACACCACAACGUGAUAUUAAAUUAAGAACUAAUAGUAUAUAUAUAUCUAAUGUUGAUUCUGCUUUUUCUUGUUUACUUUGGAUACAUAAUCUAGAAGAAAAGGGAAACUAAUUCAUAUUCACAACAGUAUAUAUAUCUAAUGUUGAUUCUGCUUUUUUUUUUGUUUACUUUGGAUACAUAAUCUGGAAGAAAAAGGGAAAAUUUAGGUGACAGGGUGGGGAGGAGGAUACAGUCACAGAAAGUAUUAAAUUAUAUAUCAGACAUCUCUCUUCUGACUCUUCAUCGUUCGCCACCUGGUGCAUGCGGGUUUCGGCGGUGGUGCGCUCCGCGUCACUGUCAGAAUAAUAUCUUGUGGUGUUUGUUUUGUUUGCUAUAUAUCUUAAUCCUUCGGCGAUUGAUUUUUCUUUCCGGCAUCGGUGGUCUCUUAGCAUCAAUGGUUGGGAUAAGACUCUGGCGAAUUCUCUUUUCCUUUAGAGGUUCGGUUAGUUUUUGACUCUGGCGUCAGUUCCUUCUUCUCCGGUGAUGACGGUCAGCUAUUGUCUCUGACUUAUAACUUUUUUCUUCAGGGGUUAGUCGGUUUUCCUCGGUGUUUCUUCUCGUUUUGAGGGACACUUCCGUUUCCUUGUGACUGGUGGAUGGUGAUGUGGAUGAGAUCUCGAUUUAGGUCGAUUGACGCUCUCCUGUGGAUAAAGCAUUCGUUAUGUGUAAAGGUUCUAUCUCUUUGUGGUUGGUGUUUGGUGAUUCAGAUGAGAUCUUGAAUUGGUUUGAUGAAGCUGACCGAUGGUUGGAGUGAAGGCAAUGAAAAUCUAUGUCUUAAAGAUGCUGGAUUCUUUGAUCGUGAUUUAUGUUCCCGGUGGAGUCCGGUGGUGUCGAUUAGCUUUUCCGGAAUGUUGAAAGCGGUCGAUUAGUUUUUCCGGCAUGUUGAAAGCGGUGGGCCAAAUUCUGAAGACUAAAAACAUUUAACCGAACCCACUAAUCAAAGGGCCUCAUAACGGUAGGUCCGGCUCUGUGGCUA